GACGAACGCUGGCGGCGUGCUUAACACAUGCAAGUCGAGCGGUAAGGCCCUUUCGGAGGUACACGAGCGGCGAACGGGUGAGUAACACGUGGGUGACCUGCCCUCAGCUCUGGGAUAAGCCUGGGAAACCGGGUCUAAUACCGGAUAUGACUCCAUGACGCAUGUUGUGGGGUGGAAAGCCUUGUGCGGCUGAGGAUGGGCCCGCGGCCUAUCAGCUUGUUGGUGGGGNGAUGGCCUACCAAGGCGACGACGGGUAGCCGGCCUGAGAGGGCGACCGGCCACACUGGGACUGAGACACGGCCCAGACUCCUACGGGAGGCAGCAGUGGGGAAUCUUGCGCAAUGGGCGAAAGCCUGACGCAGCGACGCCGCGUGAGGGAUGACGGCCUGGU
This 391-nucleotide ribosomal RNA is filed under the name uncultured bacterium. RNAcentral describes it as "bacterial SSU rRNA". It matches the Rfam family "Bacterial small subunit ribosomal RNA", at positions 28 to 420 of the family's 1533-position model. The record is from RNAcentral.